This 140-nucleotide ribosomal RNA is filed under the name uncultured eukaryote. Its description in RNAcentral is "partial 18S ribosomal RNA". It matches the Rfam family "Eukaryotic small subunit ribosomal RNA", at positions 1299 to 1458 of the family's 1831-position model. The record is from RNAcentral.
UGGUGGAGUGAUUUGUCUGGUUAAUUCCGUUAACGAACGAGACCUCGACCUGCUAACUAGUUUUUAUUUCGUCUACGAAAUCAUAAAGCUUCUUAGAGGGACUAUCGGUGGUAAGCCGGUGGAAGUUCGAGGCAAAAACA